Molecule: ribosomal RNA, 489 nt
Filed under: Triticum aestivum (bread wheat)
Lineage: Eukaryota; Viridiplantae; Streptophyta; Magnoliopsida; Poales; Poaceae
Description: partial small subunit ribosomal RNA
Source: RNAcentral
AUGGAGCUCGGUGCUCUUAGUGCUUGCCUUGCUGCAGUUGUCUGUUCAUCUGAACAACCACCUCUCCGUCCUCUUGGUAGCUCUGCUGGUGACGGGGCUUCUCUUAUUAUCAAGUCAGUACUGGACCGAGCAACUGAGUUGCUGACUGAUCAGCGUGCCGUAUCCAGCUAUACCCCGUCAAACCGAGCUCUCUGGCAGGCAUCGUUUGAUGCUUUCUUUGGGCUUCUGACAAAAUACUGCCUCAGUAAGUAUGAAAGUAUUCUGCAGAUGUUUGUGAUGCAGGCAUCAGGCUCUGUGAUUGGAUCUGAAGCCUCCCAAGCAACUAGCAGGGAGAUGCCAGUUGAGUUGCUACGUGCAAGCCUUCCUCACACAAACGAGCAGCAACGGCAGAUGCUGCUCGAUUUCGCUCAGAGAACCACGCCAGCCAGCAGUUUUACCCCCCCUGGUGCUAGCGGUGGACACAUCACUUCUGAAUCGGUUCCUGGUUGA